RNAcentral lists this ribosomal RNA (253 nucleotides) under uncultured bacterium. RNAcentral describes it as "partial 16S ribosomal RNA". It matches the Rfam family "Bacterial small subunit ribosomal RNA", at positions 524 to 776 of the family's 1533-position model. The record is from RNAcentral.
UACAGAGGUGGCAAGCGUUGUUCGGAAUUACUGGGCGUAAAGGGCGCGUAGGCGGUCUUUUAAGUCUUGUGUGAAAUCCCUCGGCUCAACUGAGGAACUGCACGGGAUACUGGAAGACUUGAGUUCGGGAGAGGGAAGCGGAAUUCCGGGUGUAGCGGUGAAAUGCGUAGAUAUCCGGAGGAACACCGGUGGCGAAGGCGGCUCACUGGACCACAACUGACGCUGAUGCGCGAAAGCUAGGGGAGCAAACAGG